RNAcentral lists this ribosomal RNA (426 nucleotides) under uncultured bacterium. Its description in RNAcentral is "bacterial SSU rRNA". It matches the Rfam family "Bacterial small subunit ribosomal RNA", at positions 355 to 772 of the family's 1533-position model. The record is from RNAcentral.
UGGGGAAUUUUGGACAAUGGGCGCAAGCCUGAUCCAGCCAUGCCGCGUGCGGGAAGAAGGCCUUCGGGUUGUAAACCGCUUUUGUCGGGGAAGAAACGCUCUGGGCUAAUACCCUGGGGUAAUGACGGUACCCGAAGAAUAAGCACCGGCUAACUACGUGCCAGCAGCCGCGGUCAUACGGAGGAACCAAGCGUUAUCCGGAAUUACUGGGCGUAAAGAGUUGCGUAGGUGGCAUAGUAAGUAGAUAGUGAAAGCGUUCGGCUCAACCGGAUAUCCAUUAUCUAAACUGCUAAGCUAGAGGAUGAGAGAGGUUAUUGGAAUUCCCUGUGUAGGAGUGAAAUCCGUAGAUAUAGGGAGGAACACCGAUGGCGUAGGCAGAUAACUGGCUCAUUCCUGACACUAAGGCACGAAAGCGUGGGGAGCAAA